GCGGCAGUAGUUUAUCGGCAGAACGCAGGGUUGUGGUCCCUGUAGAGAGGGUUCGACUCCCUCCUGCCGCG
This 71-nucleotide transfer RNA is filed under the name Candidatus Woesearchaeota archaeon. It matches the Rfam family "tRNA". Rfam says of the family: Transfer RNA (tRNA) molecules are approximately 80 nucleotides in length. The record is from Rfam by way of RNAcentral. Lineage: Archaea; Nanobdellati; Candidatus Woesearchaeota.